GACGAACGCUGGCGGCGUGCUUAACACAUGCAAGUCGAACGGAAAGGCCCUGCUUUUGUGGGGUGCUCGAGUGGCGAACGGGUGAGUAACACGUGAGUAACCUGCCCUUGACUUUGGGAUAACUUCAGGAAACUGGGGCUAAUACCGGAUAGGAGCUCCUGCUGCAUGGUGGGGGUUGGAAAGUUUCGGCGGUUGGGGAUGGACUCGCGGCUUAUCAGCUUGUUGGUGGGGUAGUGGCUUACCAAGGCUUUGACGGGUAGCCGGCCUGAGAGGGUGACCGGCCACAUUGGGACUGAGAUACGGCCCAGACUCCUACGGGAGGCAGCAGUGGGGAAUAUUGCACAAUGGGCGAAAGCCUGAUGCAGCAACGCCGCGUGCGGGAUGACGGCCUUCGGGUGGUAAACCGCUUUCGCCUGUGACGAAGCGUGAGUGACGGUAAUGGGUAAAGAAGCACCGGCUAACUACGUG
Molecule: ribosomal RNA, 468 nt
Filed under: uncultured bacterium
Lineage: Bacteria
Description: partial 16S ribosomal RNA
Rfam family: Bacterial small subunit ribosomal RNA
Source: RNAcentral